GACGAACGCUGGCGGCGUGCUUAACACGUGCAAGUCGAACGGAAAGGCCCUGCUUUUGUGGGGUGCUCGAGUGGCGAACGGGUGAGUAACACGUGAGUAACCUGCCCUUGACUUUGGGAUAACUUCAGGAAACUGGGGCUAAUACCGGAUAGGAGCUCCUGCUGCAUGGUGGGGGUUGGAAAGUUUCGGCGGUUGGGGAUGGACCCGCGGCUUAUCAGCUUGUUGGUGGGGUAGUGGCUUACCAAGGCUUUGACGGGUAGCCGGCCUGAGAGGGUGACCGGCCACAUUGGGACUGAGAUACGGCCCAGACUCCUACGGGAGGCAGCAGUGGGGAAUAUUGCACAAUGGGCGGAAGCCUGAUGCAGCAACGCCGCGUGCGGGAUGACGGCCUUCGGGUUGUAAACCGCUUUCGCCUGUGACGAAGCGUGAGUGACGGUAAUGGGUAAAGAAGCACCAGCUAACUACGUG
This 468-nucleotide ribosomal RNA is filed under the name uncultured bacterium. Its description in RNAcentral is "partial 16S ribosomal RNA". It matches the Rfam family "Bacterial small subunit ribosomal RNA", at positions 28 to 507 of the family's 1533-position model. The record is from RNAcentral.